UAAGAGUAAACUAUAGUUUUGUGAUUACCACCACCAUUGAUUACAACAUUUCAACACAAUGAGCAGAAAAAGAGAUACAGUUUUUCACCAUAAAAUUUAUUAGAAAAAGAAAGGUUACAACAUUAGAAGUCCCAAGAUGCAUCACCAAUCAUAACUAUAAAGCAGUGCAAUUACAAACUACAACCUUCACCUUACUCAAAUGAAGUUGAACAAGUUAAAGGAGCAGGUAGCAAAUGCACAACUAAGGCUUAAGCACUUGUACAGCUAGAAAGGGCUAAAAAACCACCGAGAAAGUCUCACACAAACUCAAAACUGUUAACGAGUCGAAGCAUUACGCAAUCAAGGCUACAGAAGAUGCAAGGAAAAGGCUAAGCAGAUUGAAGAAGCGAAUUCUGGCAUUCUUCCAAGACCUGAUGGAGCUAGGAGCUAGGACUUGGAAACUGCAAGGGAACAAUACGUGAUAGUAAUUACUGAGCUUGAUGCAGCUAAACAAGAAUUGAAGAAGGUUCGUCAAGACUGUGAUGCAUCCUUAGAAGCGAAAAUUGCUGCCUUAAACCAAACAGAAGAACCUGAACAUGCAGCUAUAAGGCAAUGUCCAAACAAAACAAAUUUUCACAUAGAAACUUGAUUAAUAGACAAGAAAUGCAAAUAAGUAGUGCUGUAAAUGGAACUAGAAAUGUAGAUGAUCACUAUAUAAUAGUGGUAAAUAUAUGAAAAAUAUAUAUAGAUAAAAAAGUGCCCAAUUUCAAGGGCCAAGCCAAGUCACUAAACAAAAGACAAAGCACAACAACUUUUCUGGAGGAGUUCAAACCAAAAGCAAAUAUGCUUUGAAAUAUUGCACUGAACUCUCAAGUUAUCAAAUCUAUAUGUUUUUGGCUCAAUUUUUUUUAACAAAUAACAGGAACUGUAAAAAAUAAAAUAAAAUAAAAUAAAAGAUUAUGGGGUUACCUUAUAUCACUUUCCUUGCAAUUUGAAAUUUAAUUAUGCAAAAGAGUCGACCUCAAACACAGGCAACCGACAAAUAAGAAAAAGAACCCAGAAUUGGAUCAUGACAAUAAUAAGGCAAUGUCCAAACAAAAUUUUAACGAAAUCCAUAGAUAUACACACACUAACUCUUGUAAAAUAAUAAAUAAGUACAAAAAUCAAACCAAAGCAAGGGAAUAAAAAGAAAACCCACAAAUCAAAGAAUCAAAGAAGGCCAAAUGAAACGUGAGGCUUAGACAGAAAGAGCUCUGUAUUUGGUUCUAAACUAAGACUGAAACUAAUGGAUUUGGGUGGAUUAGGCUUAUUCUUUUUUUUUAACGAGGGUUUAAGAAGGGUUUCUUGAUUUUGUAUUUUGAGGUCAAAAAACGAUGGAGAGGAAGCAUGAUUUUGAACGAGGGUGAUAAGUGUAAUUAAGGGAGCAUAAUUUUUGUUGUCUAUUCCUUCUAUUACUGAAUUGCAAUUCAGAGGGGAGGCCAACGAAUUGCUAUUCAGGCUUUGCGCAGAAUAGAGGGUGUUACGGGGUAGAAUAAUAACAGAAAAAAAAGAAUUAGC
RNAcentral lists this long non-coding RNA (1536 nucleotides) under Gossypium barbadense (sea-island cotton). Its description in RNAcentral is "long non-coding RNA (GBAR_LNC021614)". The record is from RNAcentral. Lineage: Eukaryota; Viridiplantae; Streptophyta; Magnoliopsida; Malvales; Malvaceae.